Molecule: ribosomal RNA, 497 nt
Filed under: uncultured bacterium
Lineage: Bacteria
Description: partial 16S ribosomal RNA
Rfam family: Bacterial small subunit ribosomal RNA
Source: RNAcentral
GAUGAACGCUGGCGGCGUGCCUAAUACAUGCAAGUCGAGCGAACAGACGAGGAGCUUGCUCCUCUGACGUUAGCGGCGGACGGGUGAGUAACACGUGGAUAACCUACCUAUAAGACUGGGAUAACUUCGGGGAACCGGAGCUAAUACCGGAUAAUAUAUUGAACCGCAUGGUUCAAUAGUGAAAGACGGUUUUGCUGUCACUUAUAGCUGGAUCCGCGUCGGAUUAGCUAGUUGGUAAGGUAACGGCUUACCAAGGCAACGAUCCGUAGCCGACCUGAGAGGAUGAUCGGCCACACUGGAACUGAGACACGGUCCAGACUCCUACGGGAGGCAGCAGUGGGGAAUCUUCGACAAUGGGCGAAAGCCUGACGCAGCAAGACCGCGUGGGUGAAGAAGGUCUUCGGGUUGUAAAGCUCUUUUGUUGGGAAAGAAAAGCAGUAGAUUAAAAUACCGCCGUUUUGACGGUACCUAAAGAAAAAGCACCGGCUAACUACGUG